UAACAUAGUAAGCCUUUAGUUAAAGGUGCCCUGUCACACAAAACUGUUCUUACUUGCAUUUUUUGAAAUAUGUUGGGUCCAUAUGUGUUUGUGUUAUGUUGUGAAUGUGAAAAUGAACUGCUACCUCCUCUGUCAGCUCUAGCCCACUGAAUAGAAAUAAGAGGAGAAAU
Etheostoma spectabile (orangethroat darter) is the source of this 170-nucleotide long non-coding RNA. RefSeq lists it as uncharacterized. The transcript is spliced from 4 exons. The record is from RefSeq and is a predicted model, not a curated record. NCBI's taxonomy places the organism in Eukaryota, Metazoa, Chordata, Actinopteri, Perciformes, Percidae.